GAUGAACGCUGGCGGCGUGCCUUAUACAUGCAAGUCGAGCGAACAGACGAGGAGCUUGCUCCUCUGACGUUAGCGGCGGACGGGUGAGUAACACGUGGAUAACCUACCUAUAAGACUGGGGUAACUUCGGGAAACCGGAGCUAAUACCGGAUAAUAUAUUGAACCGCAUGGUUCAAUAGUGAAAGACGGUUUUGCUGUCACUUAUAGAUGGAUCCGCGCCGCAUUAGCUAGUUGGUAAGGUAACGGCUUACCAAGGCGACGAUGCGUAGCCGACCUGAGAGGGUGAUCGGCCACACUGGAACUGAGACACGGUCCAGACUCCUACGGGAGGCAGCAGUAGGGAAUCUUCCGCAAUGGGCGAAAGCCUGACGGAGCAACGCCGCGUGAGUGAUGAAGGUCUUCGGAUCGUAAAACUCUGUUAUUAGGGAAGAACAAAUGUGUAAGUAAAUAUGCACGUCUUGACGGUACCUAAUCAGAAAGCCACGGCUAACUACGUG
Molecule: ribosomal RNA, 497 nt
Filed under: uncultured bacterium
Lineage: Bacteria
Description: partial 16S ribosomal RNA
Rfam family: Bacterial small subunit ribosomal RNA
Source: RNAcentral